UACAGAGGGUGCGAGCGUUAAUCGGAAUUACUGGGCGUAAAGCGCACGUAGGCGGCUUGGUAUGUCGGGUGUGAAAUCCCCGGGCUCAACCUGGGAAUUGCAUUUGUGACUGCACGGCUAGAAUCUGGCAGAGGGGGGUAGAAUUCCACGUGUAGCAGUGAAAUGCGUAGAGAUGUGGAGGAAUACCGAUGGCGAAGGCAGCCCCCUGGGCUAAGAUUGACGCUCAUGCACGAAAGCGUGGGGAGCAAACAGG
RNAcentral lists this ribosomal RNA (253 nucleotides) under uncultured bacterium. RNAcentral's name for it is "partial 16S ribosomal RNA". It matches the Rfam family "Bacterial small subunit ribosomal RNA", at positions 524 to 776 of the family's 1533-position model. The record is from RNAcentral.